UACAGAGGUCCCGAGCGUUGUUCGGAUUCACUGGGCGUAAAGGGUGCGUAGGUGGUGACGUAAGUCGGAUGUGAAAUCUCGGAGCUUAACUCCGAAACUGCAUUGGAAACUGCGUUGCUAGAGGGUUGGAGGGGGGACUGGAAUGCUUGGUGUAGCAGUGAAAUGCGUAGAUAUCAAGUGGAACACCAGUGGCGAAGGCGAGUCCCUGGACAACUCCUGACACUGAGGCACGAAAGCUAGGGGAGCAAACAGG
This 253-nucleotide ribosomal RNA is filed under the name uncultured bacterium. RNAcentral describes it as "partial 16S ribosomal RNA". It matches the Rfam family "Bacterial small subunit ribosomal RNA", at positions 524 to 776 of the family's 1533-position model. The record is from RNAcentral.